Molecule: non-coding RNA, 28 nt
Filed under: Mus musculus (house mouse)
Lineage: Eukaryota; Metazoa; Chordata; Mammalia; Rodentia; Muridae
Source: RNAcentral
UGCUCGCUUGCCCACCUACACUACCUAU